CAUGGGGGAACCCUGAUGCAGCGACGCCGCGUGGAGGAAGAAGGUCUUCCCNAUUGUAAACUCCUGUUGUUGAGGAAGAUAAUGACGGUACUCAACAAGGAAGUGACGGCUAACUACGUGCCAGCAGCCGCGGUAAAACGUAGGUCACAAGCGUUGUCCGGAAUUACUGGGUGUAAAGGGAGCGCAGGCGGGAGAACAAGUUGGAAGUGAAAUCUAUGGGCUCAACCCAUAAACUGCUUUCAAAACUGUUUUUCUUGAGUAGUGCAGAGGUAGGCGGAAUUCCCGGUGUAGCGGUGAAAUGCUUAGAUAUCACGAAGAACUCCGAUUGCGAAGGCAGCUCACUAGACUGUUACUGACACUGAUGCUCGAAAGUGUGGGUAUCAAACAGGAUUAGAUACCCUGGUAGUCCAAGGGCGAAUUC
RNAcentral lists this ribosomal RNA (421 nucleotides) under uncultured bacterium. Its description in RNAcentral is "SSU rRNA". It matches the Rfam family "Bacterial small subunit ribosomal RNA", at positions 370 to 808 of the family's 1533-position model. The record is from RNAcentral.